Molecule: long non-coding RNA, 192 nt
Organism: Octopus sinensis (East Asian common octopus)
Lineage: Eukaryota; Metazoa; Mollusca; Cephalopoda; Octopoda; Octopodidae
Exons: 3
Source: RefSeq, a predicted model, not a curated record
AAGAAAUGUCAGGAGACACCUUAAUGCACAUCGAUAGCCAAAAAGAAUUUCCUUGGAAUGUGGAACAGAUAUAAUGGGGAAGUAAGAAGUAGAGAUGAACAUAAAUGCUGUCCAAUUAAAGACGAAAACAAGGAAAAUUUGAGCAAAUUCUAUAGCUAUAAUUCAAAUCGGAAUACGAAGCCUCGGCAACUG